Molecule: long non-coding RNA, 166 nt
Organism: Bradysia coprophila
Lineage: Eukaryota; Metazoa; Arthropoda; Insecta; Diptera; Sciaridae
Source: RefSeq, a predicted model, not a curated record
UGUAGAGUUUGUAUAUCCGAGCCGAAGGCGAGUUUUACAACUACUCUUGUCAAAAAACAGUUGCCGAAGUAAUAUCACAAAAUUGUUUCCGAAGUAUUGAAGUAUGCAGCAGCAUUCAAUGUAAUCUGGUUUACUGCCUUCCAAAGUGCAAAAGUUGAUUUCCACA